GAUGAACGCUGGCGGCGUGCCUAAUACAUGCAAGUCGAGCGAACGGACGAGAAGCUUGCUUUUCUGAUGUUAGCGGCGGACGGGUGAGUAACACGUGGAUAACCUACCUAUAAGACUGGGAUAACUUCGGGAAACCGGAGCUAAUACCGGAUAAUAUUUUGAACCGCAUGGUUCAAAAGUGAAAGACGGUCUUGCUGUCACUUAUAGAUGAAUCCGCGCUGCAUUAGCUAGUUGGUAAGGUAACGGCUUACCAAGGCAACGAUGCAUAGCCGACCUGAGAGGGUGAUCGGCCACACUGGAACUGAGACACGGUCCAGACUCCUACGGGAGGCAGCAGUAGGGAAUCUUCCGCAAUGGGCGAAAGCCUGACGGAGCAACGCCGCGUGAGUGAUGAAGGUCUUCGGAUCGUAAAACUCUGUUAUUAGGGAAGAACAUAUGUGUAAGUAACUGUGCACAUCUUGACGGUACCUAAUCAGAAAGCCACGGCUAACUACGUG
Molecule: ribosomal RNA, 497 nt
Filed under: uncultured bacterium
Lineage: Bacteria
Description: partial 16S ribosomal RNA
Rfam family: Bacterial small subunit ribosomal RNA
Source: RNAcentral